This 466-nucleotide long non-coding RNA is filed under the name Homo sapiens (human). Its description in RNAcentral is "HSALNT0033274". The record is from RNAcentral. Lineage: Eukaryota; Metazoa; Chordata; Mammalia; Primates; Hominidae.
GUUUGGAGUUCUUUCACCUGGGUCUGUGGAGAGGUUGUUUUUGGCUUCAAACCAGCAGUGCUUUCGCAAUCUCCACACGUUACGGCUGCUGAAAUGCGAGGACACCAGCCGGGUGGCGGCUUGAGUCUUGUGAUUCCCAGGCAGUCCGGCGAAAUGAUAAACAAAAGUCUUUUGUGCAAUAUUAAUAAGCUUUAAGCACUCCCCAGCCGAGCCCCUUGUCAUCCAAUGCUGGCAGUAUGAUACAGGAACUGGGGGCUGAAUGGAGAGACCCCUUUCCAAGGAGGCGCCUUUGAAAACCUUUUUGCUGGACCAUUCCAACUGUCAACUGAUCUUGAGUUCUGUUUACAUUAAGACAAUAACAGUGUUUCCUAAAUAAAUAAGUUAGGGACACCCGUGGGCCUUAAUGAAACCCCAUAAAUGGGAUGGAGGGGUGGGAGUGGGGAAGGAGUUUUUGUGCUGUGCAGAA